This 640-nucleotide ribosomal RNA is filed under the name Punctularia atropurpurascens. RNAcentral describes it as "partial small subunit ribosomal RNA". It matches the Rfam family "Bacterial small subunit ribosomal RNA", at positions 380 to 924 of the family's 1533-position model. Lineage: Eukaryota; Fungi; Basidiomycota; Agaricomycetes; Corticiales; Punctulariaceae. The record is from RNAcentral.
AGAGUGAACUAGCUAACUGAAAUCAUUAAUGUUUCCCCAGUGUUUCAUUAAUGAUGUCGUAAGGGAAAAUAAUGAUGAUACCUUACUAUGAGCGUUGUCCAAAUCUAGUGCCAGAAGACUCGGUAAGGCUAGGGACGCAAACGUUAACCGUAUUAAACAGGCGUAAAGGGUUUGUAGGCAGCUUUAAGUAUCCUAUUUUCCAAUAUAGCUGUACUUUUACAAAAAUUGUUUUAAUUAUAUUUUAUUAAAUUAUAAAAUAUAAAAAAAAAGACAAUCAUAAAGUAAUUGUAAAUACAAUAUAAUUAUAUUGUAGUUAAAGAGAAGAUCAAUUAAAGCUAGAAUCUAGCUGGGGAUAUAUAAAUAAUACUUAGAGUAGGGCUGAGAUCCGUAUAAACUAAGGGGAAUAUUAAAGGCGUAGGCUAUUUAUCCUUUAAAGAUUGACGCUGAGAAACGAAGGUGAGGAUAGGAAAUAGGAUUAGAGACCCAGGUACCCUCUCUGUCAACGAUGAAUGGUGGCUGCUAGAUAUAAUAAUUUAUUUAAAAUUAUGUUACAAAGAUCUGGUGGCGAUGUUAAGGCGAUAACCAUUCCGCCUUGUGAGUACGGCUGCAAAGCUGAAAUCAAAAAAUUAGUCGGUCUCGA